CCUACGGGAGGCAGCAGUGGGGAAUAUUGGGCAAUGGACGCAAGUCUGACCCAGCAACGCCGCGUGAAGGAAGAAGGCUUUCGGGUUGUAAACUUCUUUUAAGGGGGAAGAGCAGAAGACGGUACCCCUUGAAUAAGCCACGGCUAACUACGUGCCAGCAGCCGCGGUAAUACGUAGGUGGCAAGCGUUGUCCGGAUUUACUGGGAGUAAAGGGCGUGCAGCCGGAGAGACAAGUCAGAUGUGAAAUCAACGGGCUCAACCCGUGAACUGCAUUUGAAACUGUUUCCCUGGAGUGUCGGAGAGGUAAUCGGAAUUCCGUGUGUAGCGGUGAAAUGCGUAGAUAUAAGGAAGAACACCAGCGGCGAAGGCGGAUUACUGGACGAUAACUGACGGUGAGGCGCGAAAGCGUGGGGAGCAAACGGGAUUAGAUACCCGGGUAGUC
This 442-nucleotide ribosomal RNA is filed under the name uncultured bacterium. RNAcentral's name for it is "partial 16S ribosomal RNA". It matches the Rfam family "Bacterial small subunit ribosomal RNA", at positions 338 to 795 of the family's 1533-position model. The record is from RNAcentral.